GAUGAACGCUGGCGGCGUGCCUAAUACAUGCAAGUCGAGCGAACAGACGAGGAGCUUGCUCCUCUGACGUUAGCGGCGGACGGGUGAGUAACACGUGGAUAACCUACCUAUCAGACUGGGAUAACUUCGGGAAACCGGAGCUAAUACCGGAUAAUAUAUUGAUCCGCAUGGUUCAAUAGUGAAAGACGGUUUUGCUGUCACUUAUAGAUGGAUCCGCGCCGCAUUAGCUAGUUGGUAAGGUAACGGCUUACCAAGGCAACGAUGCGUAGCCGACCGGCGAGGGUGAUCGGCCACACUGGAACUGAGACACGGUCCAGACUCCUACGGGAGGCAGCAGUAGGGAAUCUUCCGCAAUGGGCGAAAGCCUGACGGAGCAACGCCGCGUGAGUGAUGAAGGUCUUCGGAUCGUAAAACUCUGUUAUUAGGGAAGAACAGAUGUGUAAGUAACUAUGCACGUCUUGACGGUACCUAAUCAGAAAGCCACGGCUAACUACGUG
Molecule: ribosomal RNA, 497 nt
Filed under: uncultured bacterium
Lineage: Bacteria
Description: partial 16S ribosomal RNA
Rfam family: Bacterial small subunit ribosomal RNA
Source: RNAcentral